ACAGAAAGAGAGAGUUGCCUCAAUGUGCGAACUAGAAGCUUUCGCUUCCCAAGCUAAGUGUGCAUAUGCCAUGCACCAGACUGAAGGAGCUGUAUUAUUGCUUGCUCAAAGCAGCAGAGACACUGUCAUACAUAAUACAGAGACAUCAUUACUAAUAUAAAACACUGCUGGGAGAAGGGACACAUGGGCGGGCCAAGAUGGCAGAUGGCUUUUAGUGGCAUGCUGCUUUCAGUUCUUCUACCUUUGUAAUUUGUGCAAUUUGAAGCCUUUGGUUUCUGUUUUUACUCUGCCAUCCAUUGGCCCUAGUGGGAGCUUUUGUUGUCGUGUAAGAUUGCAGGGUAUUUUCAGUGAGGGGCCAUGGCCAAUAGUAUGUACUGUGUCCUCCUGAUUACUGGUAUUACAAAGAAGGGCUUGUCAAGAACAGCUUUUAUGAUUUGCUGAGAAAUGGAUGAAAAUAUCAGUCUUCUUGGCCAUGUAACCUCUGCUCUAUUGUUUUGUAGGAUUUUGUUGUUGCUCUGUAAGUGUUUAGCACUGUGGUGGAUGGAUCUCUGACAUACAAAGAGUGAGAAGAGAAAUGAGACACACCUGGAAGAGAGACAGCCUGGCAGGUGGAAAUAUGGAGUACGUCGCGUGUGUGUCACUGGGUGUCUUCCUUUGAGUGAAUAAGGAGAACAUCUUUGCUGCUCCAGUCCACAUCAGCUCAGAUGACACUUCAUCUGCACUGGCAAACCAGGAAGUGGAUUGAGCAGUCCACUGUCACCUUUUAUAACAUGCAUCUCUUUCACCCGCUCAAGGUUGGAGUACCCAGUUGUGUCCUUGGAGGUCCUUGUAUUGUGGGACUGCCAGACCUCCUGAGUCACAUGACUCACUGUCUGAUUUCCGAGUCAAGCUUUUCAUUUCCUAAAUGAUAAGGGAUAAAAGAUAAAAUCUGGCACACACAGGUAAUCUUUGCCAUCUUAAUAUUUGUUAAGCUUUUUGAUUUACUGAGAAGUUAAAGUCACUGCAGGUCACAAAACCUGCACAUUAGAUCUGCUUCAUAAACAUUCUGAGUGAAUGCUUUUGUCAUUUAUUUCACCAUCUUUAAACGAAUGUAGCUGAAGAAUUGCACCUCCAAUUUAUAAAUCUUUCAAUUUAUUUCUGUUUUCAGCUUAUAGGAUGGGACCAUAUCCAGCUAGAUCUAGCCAUUUGUGCAUGACUAUAGAAGAAAGCUAACAUAUUUCUUGCAUAAUGUAGACUUGAUCCAGCUUACAUUUGUUAAAUCAUCCAAAAGGAAAUAUUCU
Molecule: long non-coding RNA, 1280 nt
Filed under: Chrysemys picta bellii (western painted turtle)
Lineage: Eukaryota; Metazoa; Chordata; Testudines; Emydidae
Description: lncRNA (ENSCPBG00000013102.1)
Source: RNAcentral